RNAcentral lists this long non-coding RNA (357 nucleotides) under Hordeum vulgare. RNAcentral's name for it is "long non-coding RNA (HVUL_LNC006362)". Lineage: Eukaryota; Viridiplantae; Streptophyta; Magnoliopsida; Poales; Poaceae. The record is from RNAcentral.
UUGCAUCAAGAAGGCUCUCGUCGAUUGCACGGAGGUAUAAAUCCGAUCCCCCCUUUGCAAAAAUGGAUUCCCCUCGUUAUCACGAUUCCGUUUUUGAGGUUAGUUUUAUUUUUCGGAUUUGAUCUACCUAUGGUGUGGAUUUCUCUUCCAAGAACUUGCUAACGAACACGUCGCCGACCAAUGUCGACGUUCAUGGAUUCAGAGAGACUUGUUGACUACACCCUAGGGAGGGAGACGGUGCUCGCAUGUACUCUAGCUGAGUACGGCAGAUGUACCAGAUGUACACGCGUCGUGACGUCCCGUUGAUGCAUGAUCCGUUCUGCCCGAGCUGCUACAAUACAUGGUUGCGCUCAGAUG